AUCCAGGAAGGAGAAGGAGCAGAUUGGGCUGGGAGGGGCUGACAGCACCCGGUCGGGUUAGACAUGGGUCGUCUGAGCCGCAGCUGAACCUGGCGUUGGAAAUCUCCCGUCUGAGUGGCUUACUACACAGCUUCAGCACACUGGGCCUCCACGACCGGACCCAGGGGCUUCCUUCUGAGGAGUUAUCUUCAUAUCUUGAAGUUGGUGGAGGGAUCGCAAGACCCUUUUGCUGGAAGGGAGUUAAAGAGCCAGAAACCCUUCCGGCCUCUUGUCACCUCCUCUGAUUUAGCACCUGCUGUUUCUGUGAUAUUUUAUAGACUUACCUGACCUCCAGAAAAUUCAAGGAGUUUGCCAGUGGGGGACUGUCAAGCUGCUGGAGAGGUGGUCGUCACGAUUUAAGCCCGUACUCACACGCUUGCUGGAUAAACAAGAACCCCCUCCCUCUGCGGGUGACACCCCCAGCGUGUGACAGUUUUUAGAAUCAGAACUGCUGAGGGGCACUGUCAGGUUCCCCCGUAAGCAAUUAUACCCACCUUGGCCCUGCGGAUUUCAGAGAAGACAUGUUGGUCCCUUUGAUUUUAAAAAGUCAAUCUCUGCAUGAAGACAUUGAAACAAACAAGAGGGCUUGGGCAUCAGCUACAGACAUGCAGUGAGUCACAGCAGCACACUUUCCCGACCUUUGCCCCGCGUCUGACAGAAGGGAAGUGAACCUCUUUUGACACAGCCCUUGUGAAGUCCCCUUAGCUUUGUCGUGUUCUUUCCUGUGAGCAGAGCUCAAGGCACAUGGCUUUGCCACUUCUGCAGCGGACCUUAAAGUGGAAGAACGCGCCUUCACAUGCUGGCUGGAAAUGCGAAGUUCCCGAACACCCAGACAGUGUUCCUGCCAGUGUCCUGGCUGGUUUUACAGUGUGAACACUGGGGCUUCUCCUUAAGUGUCCCGGCUUCAAGUCAGCCCUGCAGGUUUUCCUCCUCUGUGUGCAGCCUCUCCUGGAGGACCCUCUCAUGCCUAGCCCCAGGGUGGAUGAACACUGGAUCCUCCACAGGGCUUACUCCUUCUCCAAGUGACCCUCCUGCCAGGGCAGCCCCUGUGCCCCAUCUUGUGGUGACACACACACCUGGCAAACAUUGCUCCACCCACUGUUGUAGGUGAGCCCCUGUCCCACGGCAGGGCCACUGAACCUGGAAGCUAAAUUGAAGCUGCCUCAGUUAGGAAGCAGAUCUCAGAUGCCAUGUGGGACCAGAGACUUUGUAAGUCCCCAGGGGAGGUUAGGGACCAUGCAAGGCUGACCCCAUUGCUACAAACACCGAACGCCAGCUGCAUCACGCAGCAGAGUGUCCCAGCCACAACUGCAGGGGGCCACUGGACCACCAUGAGCCUGGGAGCCCUGGCUCUUGACAGAGGUCCUGGGGUGAUGCCCGGGACCCUCCACAAGGGCGGGAAGCCAAGAGAGUCCUCUGGGGACAGAGGCUUUUGUAGGAGCCCAGAAACUUUGCAUCCUAAGGGACGAUGGCAUUCCUCCUUGCGGGGAUGGUGCAAAAGCUCAGGCUUGUUGGCUUAUUUGAGCUGCCAUCUCCUCCCUUGUUUUAUGGGUUAGACUGAUGUGGCUGGAAUGGAGUAUGGUAUUGAGAUCAGGAGGAUCUGAUGGGAUCCUCAUCAUAUGAUCCAUCCUCAUGAUGUGAAUGGAAUGGAGUAUGGUACUGAGAUGGGAUCAGGAGGCCCCAGCCCACUUCUCCAAGAAACUAAAAAAAACUGUGGAUGCCUAGGUGGGCGGAUCGCUUGAGGUCAGGAGUUUGAGGCCAACCUGGCCAACACGGUGAAACCCCGUCUCUACUAAAAAUACAAAAAUUAGCCGGGUGUGGUGGCGUGCGUCUGUAGUCCUAGCUACUAGAGAGGUUGAGGCAGGAGAAUCACUUGAAUCCAGGAGGCAGAGGUUGCAGUGAGCCAAGAUCGCGCCCCUGCACUCCAGCCUGGGCAACAGAGCGAGACUCUAUCACACACACACACACACACACACACACACACACACACACACACACAAUUUUGGUAAAUAUACAUAAAUAAAAUGUACUAUGUUAACCAAUCAUAGAUGCACAAUUCCGUAGUGCUAAGUAUAUUCACACUGGUGUGCAAACAACCUCCAGAACUUUUUCAUCUUGCAAAACUGCAACUUUGUGUCCAUGUAAAGCAACCCCCCUUUCCUCCGUCCCCCGAGUCCCUGGCAAGCACCCCCAAGGGAUGUUUUAGUGACUUCAGUGUCUCCACGUGAUAAGGAUGUUGAGAAUUUGAGGUGAGCACCAACAUGUCAGGUGCUACACAGUGGCCCAUGAGAGAUUUAUAUAUAAAUUAUUUCCUGGCAGCCGAGCCCCAUGGCUCAUGCCUGUAAUCCCAACAGUUUGGGAGGCCGAGUCAGGUGGAUCACUUGAGCCCAGGAGUCUGAGACCAGCCUGGGCAACAUGGUGAGACCCCUGUCUCUACCCACUAAUAAUACUAAUUAUCUUCAUCUCCUGGAUCUCCAGUGCAACAGAGAAGGAUGCAGGUUUAGAGAAGGGCCUGUGGAGGCUCAGUUCCCAGCAGUGUGACAUUGGGCACCUUGGGGCUCACACCUGACAGUGACGUUGGGGAUCCCUGCCUGGCUGCACCGUGCUGUUCCCUCUGCCCUUCCCAGCACCGUGGGUGAAGCUGACUCCUUCUCCCCGCUGGCCUCAGCCCUCUCCCACCUCCUAAAGAGGCAGCCCCAAAGGGACGGCCGUGCCCACCCAGCCCGUGCCACUCUUGCAUCCCUUUCUGCUGUUUUCCUUCAGAGCACCUGGCUCUAGAGCCACAGGUCCUCACAGUGGGUGUCUCCCAAGGCUACCAUUUCUCAGCACAUCCUGGAGAGGGUGAGAGAGAGCACUGAGUGGACCAUCCAAGAGCACGGCCGCAUCCCAAAAGUCCUGCUUCGGAAUGGACUGACUUGUGUGAGGCAUCUGCAGCUGCCCUACAGAGGUUGUGGGGGACAGGCUUUCAGCUGCAAAAUGUUCCCGUAGCUGCUUCUUCCUUCACGCUUGACCUUCUGAAAUCAACUAUGCGUUACUUCUGAAAUUUAAAAAAUUCCAGAAAAAAAAAGAGAAGAAAAUCCAGACAGUCUAAAGAAAGUGUCUCAAGCAAUUCUGCCGAUGAACUGGGUUUGGAAAUGCUAACUUCUACCCUGGAAUGUUGGCAUGGCCAAGGUGAUGCCAACUGGCUCCGGGUAGCGGGAUGGAGUGAGAGUGUUUGGCAAAGGUUGCAGACUGGUGACCUGUGAGUCAGCCGGAUCUGACCAGUCCAGUGCCCUGGGCCAAGCCUUCCCAGUGUAGGGGAGUUGCUCACACUGCAGUUCACAGAGUCCCCGGGGGCUGGCGCACUCUGUACUUCCUGCCUGGCCCUGUAGGCGUUCAGCUUUGCAAUAGCUGGUGGGGAGUGGGGGCAGAGGGGGGCAGCUCCUCCAACUGCCGUAAAGCUGAACCUCAGCCCUGUCCCAGGAAUCAGGGCUGCCCACAUGAGGGCAGGUGCGUGCCGAGGUGGCCCCACCCGGAUCCCUGUACCUGGAGCAGUGUUCUGGGCCUAAUGGCAGCCUCCAGAAGUGACCACUUACUCCCAGCCUACAACCAGGGCCUCACUGCCUGAUGUGGGGUACAGCCACAGCCCCUUUCCUCAGCGAGGGGCAACGCAGUGGUGUGACCACACGCAGAGGCUGUCUCGGCUCUUUCCUUCCCCACAGCCCCCGGCUUGCUCAAGGCCCCCUCCCAUUGCCACUCAUCUUUUCAAUAGACUGGCCAUGAGAAUCCGUCUCUCAGGCUGUGGGUCUAGGGAAGGGGUCCCAGGAAGCAGACUCUGCAGAUGAGACCCUGUCCAGGUGGGAUCCCUGCCAGUUGGGUGGCCCUGAGGGUCCCAGCACCUGGGAUGAGAAGAUUCUCAGCCCCAGUGUCCAGGGAGCUUCCCCUCAGCUGGGUGAGUGGGUAGGUGGCAGUGGAGGGAGGCACAGUGGCUGGAAGGUCAUGGGAAUAGUGGUUGUAAAGGCUAGAAGUGGGCAGCUACACCUUCAAAGAGGAAAACAGGCUGUCUUGGGGCUGAAGUCAAGGGUCUGAGACACGGGGAGGGGACCCCAAGCCUUGGGGGGGAAAUACUUGGGCAGGUGCAUCUGAAGUCUUUAAACGCCAGAUUCCACCUAAUUCUCUGGGCUUGCAAAAGUGGUCCCCUGCCCCUUGUUCAAAGAUAGAUUCCCCCGUUCACCCUCACCCUCUCUUCUGCUUAAAGGUAGAAAGGGGUCUGGUAUAGCGGUGUCUUGUGGGACAAAUCUUGGCUUCCUCAGCACCUGCCUCCCUCUCCUUCCUGGCCUGACCUCUGGGUGUCUGGUCAAAUCGCAGCACUGCCUGGCUGACACCUGGAGCAGGACCCAGAAGACCAUCCCUGAAGGGGAGUCUCCAGGGCUUUGGAUCCAGGGAAACAGGGUGGGGAACCCCUGGGAACCCCAGAGUCGGUAUGAAGAUUCUUUUAAGCUGAAGUCAUGUAAGAAAGAUUUAAUAGAUGCAGAAAGAAACCUUCUUAGAACUUCUCUCAUCUCACUAAAAGAAACUUCUAAGAGGUGAGAAGUGCCCUAAUUCCCUCUUUGAGGUGGCUUCUCCUCCCAGGAGAGAGAUCCAGAAUAAACCUGCUAUGAAUUCCUUCUCCAGGGGAGUUUUGUGACCAUGAUGAACACUCACAUCUGCAUAAACAAACUCUAUCCUUCACUUUCUCAUCUCCCAUUUGUCCUGCUAAAAGCCCAUGUGUCUUUCCUAAAGCAACUUUGUUCUUCCUUAGAAACCUGUCUCCUUCUCCCUUUCCCCUAUAAUUUAGGCACAUGCUAUGGUCUGAAUGUUUGUGUCUCUCCAAAAUCCCUGUGUUGAAAUCUAAUCUCUAACCUUGUGGAUUAAGAGGUGGGGAUUUGGGGGAGAUUAAAUCCGGAGGGCCCCACCCUCAUCCCUGGGAUUGGUGCCCUUAAAAAAGAGGUGGAAGAGGCUGCCUUAUCCCUUCCAUUGCGUGAAGAUGCAGGCAGAAAGUGCCAUCUUGAAAGCAGAGAGCGUGCCCUCACCACACACGGAAUCUGCUGGCACUAGGGAGGUAGGAGGUGAGGCUUGACUCUGGAGGUGGGGCUUGGACAUCAGAUCAAAUUGAGGACUAGCUAAAACAGGGCUGGGGUGGAAGCAGCUUUCCAUCAGACAGCCCACCAGUGUGCAAUGUCAGUUGACCAUCGCCAUGGCAACGCCUGGGAGUUACUGCCCCUUUCCAUGGCAAUGACCCAAAGACCCAAAAUUCCCUAGGAAUGUCUGCAUAACCCACCCUUAAUCUGCAUGCAAUGAAAAGUAGGUAUCAAUAUGACUACAGAACUGCCCUGAGCUGCUACUCACUGCCUGUGGGUUAGCUCCACUCUGCAGGAGCAGUCCUGGAGCUGUAACUCCACUGCUUCAAUGAAACUUUCCUUCUACCUCUGCCUUGCCCUUAAAUUCUUUCCUGGGCAAAACCAAGUGUCUUCACAGGCUAAGCUCCACUUUGGGCUUGUCUGCCCUACAUCACCUUGAUCUUGGAUUCUUCAACCUCCAGAACUGUGAGAAAUAAAUUUCUGUUGCUUGGUAUUUUGUUCACACUGCAGGCACGGGCCCUUUGAGUUCCUCACCACUGAGCACUCUGCAUGUGUGUGUGCUGGACAUGUAAAUCAACUCUGCCUUUUCUUUCCUUUUUUUUUUUUUUUUUUUUUUUGAGACUGAUUCUUGCUCUGUCGCCAGGCUGGAGUGCAGUGGCAUGAUCUCAGCUCACUGCAACCUCCACCUCCCAGGUUCAAGCGACUCCCCAGCCUCAGCCUCCAGAGUAGCUGGGAAAACAGGCGCACGC
Molecule: long non-coding RNA, 5887 nt
Filed under: Homo sapiens (human)
Lineage: Eukaryota; Metazoa; Chordata; Mammalia; Primates; Hominidae
Description: HSALNT0273906
Source: RNAcentral